Dicentrarchus labrax (European seabass) is the source of this 1233-nucleotide long non-coding RNA. RefSeq lists it as uncharacterized. The transcript is spliced from 2 exons. The record is from RefSeq and is a predicted model, not a curated record. Lineage: Eukaryota; Metazoa; Chordata; Actinopteri; Moronidae.
GAAGAAAGGUAUACUUCCUCUUUCCAAAAAAACAUUGAGAGACAAGGUGCAUUGUUUCCCCAGAAUCAGACAAGGAAGUGACCUAUGAUUAUCAGAUCUCUGGUUCCUCUUUGUGUUCUGUUUAAACUCACAGCUGUCUCCAGCAGGUCCACAGCCGGACACAAGCUUGUUUUUUUUGGCACACGGACGGACCCAGAGAAGCAGAACAUCCUCUUUAAAGCUCAGCGCUGGGAAGAAUUACCCUCAGUCACUCUCAGACCCAUCUAGAUCUCACUCUCUGACACUCUCUAGUCGUCCACGGUGAUGUUGCGGAACAAGUAGGCCAUGGACUCUCCAUUGUGGAUGCGGCGGAUGGCCUCAGCCAAUAUCAUGCUGACGUCCACAGUCUUGAUUUUGGGACACUGCAGUUUCUGUACUUCAUGGGGGACUGUGUUGGUCACCACCACCUGAGGGGAGAACAAUCACAAAGAUAGCGUUUAGGCUUAAUGAGACAGUUUCCAUUUGAAUUAAAAAGCAGUUUAAAGUGUGCAGUUUCUUGUCAGGCUGAUAUAAAAACGUAUGUGGCACUGGUGACAGUCACAGAUUUGGUUAUGAGUGAUUAAAUCAAUUAAUUAAAACUAGAGCACAAACGUGUGCACUCAUUCGUGAAAGAAAAAUUGAGUUUGACAGAUGCUUAAAGUAGUUUGAAAGAGAGAACAGAAACGGCCUGUAUGUGUUUAUACACAUUGCAUGGAUUUUUUUUUUUUUUUAACAGACAAAUAUAAACACUUUUGAAAUGGAAGUCUAGAAACCGGAGAUGGCUUAAAACUGAUAUUAGAACUUAUUAAUCCACACAGAGAGAUCCAACAUACCAGAUUUUAUAUUUAAGUCAAAAAGCUGCCUGGGAAAGCUAAAUUCAGCUAACCAAUGCCCACCCAGUACAUAUGGGAAACAAACAGGGAUUACAAGUAGUAUGUUCUAAAUUAAACAAAUAUCAUAAACCUUGAAACAUUUUAUAAAAUAAAUACUAAAUUUAAACAGAACUGUUGUGUUUUGAACCCAGGACAGUUUGAAGGAACUGAAAAUAGAAACUAGUAAUUUACAGAAAUGCAACUGCUGCAUAUAAUAAUCCUUUCCUUGUUCUAGGUACAACUAAUUUCAUGCAAUAACAUUUCAUCUGAAAAGCCUUCCAUUAGGAGGAAGUACUUACUUUUACAUUGUGUUUAAAAAGAAUAAAUGAGAACUUAUGAACAA